Molecule: ribosomal RNA, 497 nt
Filed under: uncultured bacterium
Lineage: Bacteria
Description: partial 16S ribosomal RNA
Rfam family: Bacterial small subunit ribosomal RNA
Source: RNAcentral
GAUGAACGCUGGCGGCGUGCCUAAUACAUGCAAGUCGAGCGAACAGACGAGGAGCUUGCUCCUCUGACCUUAGCGGCGGACGGGUGAGUAACACGUGGAUAACCUACCUAUACGACUGGGAUAACUUCGGUAAACCGGAGCUAAUACCGGAUAAUAUAUUGAACCGCAUGGUUUAAUAGUGAAAGACGGUUUUGCUGUCACUUAUAGAUGGAUCCUCGCCGCAGUAGCUAGUUGGGAAGGUAACGGCUUACCAAGGCAACGAUGCGUAGCCGACCUGAGAGGGUGACCAGCCACAGUGGAACGGAGACCUGGUCCAGACCCAUACGGGGGGCAGGAGUAGGGACUCUUCCGCAAUGGGCGAAAGCCGGACGGAGCAACGCGGCGUGAGUGAUGAAGGUCUUAGUACCGUAAAACUCUGUUAUUAGGGAAGAACAAAUGUGUAGGUAACUAUGCACGGCUGGACGGUACCUAAGCAGAAAGCCACGGCUAACUACGUG